AUACGUAGGGGGCGAGCGUUGUCCGGAAUUAUUGGGCGUAAAGCGCGCGCAGGCGGUCCUCUAAGUCUGAUGUGAAAUCUUGCGGCUCAACCGCAAGCGGUCAUUGGAAACUGGGGGACUUGAGUGCAGGAGAGGAGAGCGGAAUUCCACGUGUAGCGGUGAAAUGCGUAGAGAUGUGGAGGAACACCAGUGGCGAAGGCGGCUCUCUGGCCUGUAACUGACGCUGAGGCGCGAAAGCGUGGGGAGCAAACAGGAUUAGAUACCCUGGUAGUCCACGCCGUAAACGAUGAGUGCUAGGUGUUAGGGGUUUCGAUACCCUUAGUGCCGAAGUUAACACAUUAAGCACUCCGCCUGGGGAGUACGGCCGCAAGGCUGAA
This 377-nucleotide ribosomal RNA is filed under the name uncultured bacterium. RNAcentral's name for it is "bacterial SSU rRNA". It matches the Rfam family "Bacterial small subunit ribosomal RNA", at positions 523 to 898 of the family's 1533-position model. The record is from RNAcentral.